GCUCAGUUGGUAGAGCAGCGGACUGAAAAUCCGCGUGUCGGUGGUUCGAAUCCGCCUCUGGGCACCA
This 67-nucleotide transfer RNA is filed under the name Mesorhizobium sp. WSM3881. Its description in RNAcentral is "partial tRNA-Phe". It matches the Rfam family "tRNA", at positions 10 to 71 of the family's 71-position model. Rfam says of the family: Transfer RNA (tRNA) molecules are approximately 80 nucleotides in length. Their secondary structure includes four short double-helical elements and three loops (D, anti-codon, and T loops). Further hydrogen bonds mediate the characteristic L-shaped molecular structure. tRNAs have two regions of fundamental functional importance: the anti-codon, which is responsible for specific mRNA codon recognition, and the 3' end, to which the tRNAs corresponding amino acid is attached (by aminoacyl-tRNA synthetases). tRNAs cope with the degeneracy of the genetic code in two manners: having more than one tRNA (with a specific anti-codon) for a particular amino acid; and 'wobble' base-pairing, i.e. permitting non-standard base-pairing at the 3rd anti-codon position. The record is from RNAcentral. Lineage: Bacteria; Pseudomonadati; Pseudomonadota; Alphaproteobacteria; Hyphomicrobiales; Phyllobacteriaceae. RNAcentral also lists the same sequence under 1 other name.